This is an RNA transcript of Cervus elaphus (red deer), 3099 nucleotides long. It is a transcript of the gene named DNA replication complex GINS protein PSF1-like, with no coding region annotated. The transcript is spliced from 7 exons. NCBI's taxonomy places the organism in Eukaryota, Metazoa, Chordata, Mammalia, Artiodactyla, Cervidae. The record is from RefSeq and is a predicted model, not a curated record.
UCGGUGGCUUCCCGCGCGCGGGGGUCGCCGCCAUUUCCCCAGCGCCCCGCGCCGCCCCGCUUCCUCGAAGCCACUGCGCGCGCGGGCUGCGCGGUGGGCGUCUCGCCCCGGUGACGCGCGGAGAGACCGGGAGACGGGCGGUUGGAGCUCAGGAGGAUGGACUGAGGCAAGUUCUGGAGGAGAUGAAAGCCUUAGACGAGCAAAACCUACCUGAUGUGAAUAACGCAAAGUCAGGAGGACGGGGUGAUUUGGUCCCAGCCAUCAAGUUUCGACACUGUUCUUUGCUAAGAAGUCAGCGCUGCGCCGGAGCCUGCCUGUGGACUGGUUCAAUGGUUACAAAAUGUCCCUUGCUACCUACAUGAGGUCAUUGGCAGGAGACCAAGGUUUGGACAUCACACAGGAUGUGAAACCUCCAAAAAGCCUAUAUAUAGAAGUGCGGUGUCUAAAAGACUACGGAGAAUUUGAAUUUGAAGAUGAUUCUACAUGCAAAGUUUUCAUCUUGGAGAGUUCGGAUUCCAAGACUUUAAUUCUGAGUUCCAUCUGUUGAGAUCCUGCUUUUAUCUAAAGCAUAUUGAAAAAGAUAAUAACUCCUAUUGAACACUUGAUUUUUCUGCAUCCAGUGCAGACAUUUUGAAAAUGCAGUUUCCAGCUCUGCUGGAAGAUCAUCACUCUUCAGGAAUACAACAAUACCAAUUGGUAAUGAAGAAAGUGGACUGAGCACAGCCUAACUCAAACCCAGGAUCAAAUAAAUAUCUAUAUUGUAGAAUGUAGGACCAGGAAUUAUUAAGAGAAUCAAGAAAGAUGUUCACACCACCAAGAAUCACAGAACAUAUUCUUCACUGUCAUCUUUGUCACACAAUGUUUCUACUUGAUUUUACACUCUUUUAUUGUUCUACAAUAAUGUUUUUCUAUCUUUCCUGCAUAAAAUGACUAUAAGUCACCUCUUCGUAGACCGUCUCUUACUCCAUCCCCUCAUCUUAAUGUCCCAGGGUUUUAAAGAAGCUUGAGGGAUGGAUACUGUAUUCAGUUAUCUAGGGCUAGUUUAAUAAAUGCCUCCCAAAAGGAGACUGUGAGAAUAAGACUCUGGGUAUGCUGGGUCCCUCUCUGGGGUGAGUGUGGGUCUCUCGAGGUCUCUGUGGGGUUUUUGGGGGCCCUGUGCUGGAUCAGUGUGGGUGUAUGGGGAGUCUCUCUCUGGGGUGAGUGUGGGUCUGACCCACUCCUCCUGGGGGCCCUGUGCUGGAUCAGUGUAGGUGUAUGGGGGGGUGUCUCUCUGGGGUGAGUGUGGGUCUGUCGAGGGCUCUGUGGGGUUAUUGGGGGCCCUGUGCAGCAGCAGUGCUGGGUCACUGUGAGUAUAUGGGGGGUCCCAGUCUGGGGUGAGUGUGGUUCUGUCGAGGUCUCUGUGGGGUUAUUGGGGGCCCUGGGCAGCAGCAGUGCUGGAUCACUGUGAGUAUAUGGGGGGUCUCUCUCUGGGGUGAGUGUGGGUCUGACCCACUCUUCAUGGGAGCCCUGUGCUGGAUCAGUGUGUUUUGUAUAUGGGGGGUCCCUCUCUGGGGUGAGUGUGGGUCUGUCUAGAUUUCAUGUGGGGUUAUUGGGGGCCCUGUGCAGCAGCAGUGCUGGGUCACUGUGGGUGUAUGGGGGGUCUCUCUAUGGGGUGAGUGUGGGUCUGACCCACUCUUCAUGGGGGCCCUGUGCUGGAUCAGUGUGGGUGUAUGGGGGGGGUCCCUCUCUGGGGUGAGUGUGGGUCUGUCGAGGUCUCUGUGGGGAUAUUGGGGGCCCUGUGCUGGAUCAGUGUGGGUGUAGGGAGUGUCCCUCUCUGGGGUGAGUGUGGGUCUGUCGAGGUCUCUGUGGGGUUAUUGGGGGCCCUGUGCUGGAUCAGUGUGGGUGUAUGGGGAGUCUCUCUCUGGGGUGAGUGUGGGUCUGACCCACUCCUCAUGGGGGCCCUGUGCUGGAUCAGUGUAGGUGUAUGGGGGGUCCCUCUCUGAGGUGAGUGUGGGUCUGUCGAGGUCUCGUGGGGUUAUUGGGGGCCCUGUGCUGGAACAGUGUGGGUGUAGGGGGUGUCCCUCUCUGGGGUGAGUGUGGGUCUGUCGAGGUUUCAUGUGGGGUUAUUGGGGGCCCUGUGCAGCAGCAGUGCUGGGUCACUGUGGGUGUAUGGGGGGUCUCUCUCUGGGGUGAGUGUGGGUCUGACCCACUCCUCAUGGGGGCCCUGUGCUGGAUCAGUGUAGGUGUAUGGGGGGUGUCUCUCUGGGGUGAGUGUGGGUCUGUCGAGGUCUCUGUGGGGUUAUUGGGGGCCCUGUGCAGCAGCAGUGCUGGGUCACUGUGGGUAUAUGGAGGGUCCCUCUCUGGGGUGAGUGCAGGUCUGUCGAGGGCUCUGUGGGGUUACUGGGGGCCCUGUGCAGCAGCAGUGCUGGGUCACUGUGAGUAUAUGGGGGGUCUCUCUCUGGGGUGAGUGUGGGUCUGACCCACUCCUCAUGGGGGCCCUGUGCUGGAUCAGUGUAGGUGUAUGGGGGGUCCCUCUCUGAGGUGAGUGUGGGUCUGUCGAGGUCUCGUGGGGUUAUUGGGGGCCCUGUGCUGGAACAGUGUGGGUGUAGGGGGUGUCCCUCUCUGGGGUGAGUGUGGGUCUGUCGAGGUUUCAUGUGGGGUUAUUGGGGGCCCUGUGCAGCAGCAGUGCUGGGUCACUGUGGGUGUAUGGGGGGUCUCUCUCUGGGGUGAGUGUGGGUCUGACCCACUCCUCAUGGGGGCCCUGUGCUGGAUCAGUGUAGGUGUAUGGGGGGUGUCUCUCUGGGGUGAGUGUGGGUCUGUCGAGGUCUCUGUGGGGUUAUUGGGGGCCCUGUGCAGCAGCAGUGCUGGGUCACUGUGGGUAUAUGGAGGGUCCCUCUCUGGGGUGAGUGCAGGUCUGUCGAGGGCUCUGUGGGGUUACUGGGGGCCCUGUGCAGCAGCAGUGCUGGGUCACUGUGAGUAUAUGGGGGGUCCCAGUCUGGCGUGAGUGUGGUUCUGUCGAGGUCUCUGUGGGGUUAUUGGGGGCCCUGGGCAGCAGCAGUGCUGGAUCACUGUGAGUAUAUGGGGGGUCUCUCUCUGGGGUGAGUGUGGGUCUGACCCACU